ACGGGGAUGAAGGGUAAGCUGUAACGGUCUUGGUUAUAGCCUUUCAUGGCAUCGGGGAUCUUUCUGUUGGAUAAGAAAUUGUCGUGGAUUUGGAGCGUUGAUUUGGCAGUUUCGGAGGAGGACAUGACUAUGGUAGUGAUUUGGCCAAGUUUGAGGGUCAUGAUGGGGCCAUGGGUUUUGGAGAGAGUGGCCAAGGUUUGAUGGGGUUUGUGGCCAAGUUGGAAGAGGUUCCCAACUAUGGGAAGACCCUUUGGUCCUGGGGGAAGUGGAAGCUUCUUCUUCUUGUGGUUUGGUUUCAAGAUUGUAUUGGCAAGAAACAGUAUAAAGGUGAUGGUAAGGAGAAAUAGCAAGAUGCAGCUGAUUGUGUCCAUUUCUUGUGGUGAAGGGGGGAUAUUGCAGCGUUGAAUCCACACACCAUAAUACCAUAUAUAUAGGGAAAUGGAAGGAUAAGAGAUGACCUUUCUUUCUCUCUCUCCAUUGACAAUCUUCUAGGAUUAAUAUUACACUUGAUAUGGUGAAAAAUGAAGAGAUGAAGUGAAACAAAAUAAUUAAUGCAGUAUGAUAAUGCAAAUUACUUCUUUCUAAAGUCAUUUAAACAACCCGAACAAAUUUGAUAAGAAGAUAUAUAGAGAGGGAAAAAUGAGAUGUGCAUGAUAUGAAGUGUUUGGGUAUUUCAGUCUAUAGUUUGGUGGGUAUUUAAAUAUAGUAGUAUUUAUAUGUAUUUAUAUGUUCUCUU
RNAcentral lists this long non-coding RNA (736 nucleotides) under Lotus japonicus. RNAcentral's name for it is "long non-coding RNA (LJAP_LNC001304)". The record is from RNAcentral. Lineage: Eukaryota; Viridiplantae; Streptophyta; Magnoliopsida; Fabales; Fabaceae.